This is a long non-coding RNA of Hypanus sabinus (Atlantic stingray), 197 nucleotides long. RefSeq lists it as uncharacterized. The transcript is spliced from 3 exons. Lineage: Eukaryota; Metazoa; Chordata; Chondrichthyes; Myliobatiformes; Dasyatidae. The record is from RefSeq and is a predicted model, not a curated record.
CAGCAUGUGAUGUAAUUGACUGGAUGAUCAGACAUGGAUAUCCCUUUACAGGUCUGAGGGAAGAAACAUGAUGCUGAUGUGGAUUUUGGUGGUGACCACACUGCUUGUCAGUGAUGUGGCAGUCUCAAUUCCUAUCCAACAAAAUGGGAAUGAUCCCGUGGACAUGAAGCAGCGAUGGUCCCCGCAUUACAGUCUAA